Molecule: ribosomal RNA, 108 nt
Filed under: Toxoplasma gondii
Lineage: Eukaryota; Apicomplexa; Conoidasida; Eucoccidiorida; Sarcocystidae
Description: partial 5.8S ribosomal RNA
Rfam family: 5.8S ribosomal RNA
About the family: 5.8S ribosomal RNA (5.8S rRNA) is a component of the large subunit of the eukaryotic ribosome. It is transcribed by RNA polymerase I as part of the 45S precursor that also contains 18S and 28S rRNA.
Source: RNAcentral
AUUUUCAGCAAUGGAUGUCUUGGCUCGCGCAACGAUGAAGGACGCAGCGAACUGCGAAACGCAAUGUGAAUUGCAGAAUUCAGUGAAUCAUCAGAUUUCUGAACGCAA